Molecule: non-coding RNA, 357 nt
Filed under: Actinomyces glycerinitolerans
Lineage: Bacteria; Bacillati; Actinomycetota; Actinomycetes; Actinomycetales; Actinomycetaceae
Description: Bacterial small subunit ribosomal RNA
Rfam family: Bacterial small subunit ribosomal RNA
Source: Rfam by way of RNAcentral
UGUUUGGAGAGUUUGAUCCUGGCUCAGGACGAACGCUGGCGGCGUGCUUAACACAUGCAAGUCGAACGGGCUGGCUCUGGUUUUUUGCUGGGGUUGGUUAGUGGCGAACGGGUGAGUAACACGUGAGUAACCUGCCCUCUUCUCCUGGAUAACUGCUUGAAAGGGCGGCUAAUACGGGGUGGUCUGGCCUGCCUGCAUGGGUGGGUUGGUAUAGGUUCAACUUUGGUUGUUCUGGUGGGGGAUGGGCUCGCGGCUUAUCAGCUUGUUGGUGGGGUGAUGGCUUACCAAGGCUUUGACGGGUAGCCGGCCUGAGAGGGUGGACGGUCACACUGGGACUGAGAUACGGCCCAGACUCCU